Non-coding RNA from Acanthosepion pharaonis, 104 nucleotides. NCBI's taxonomy places the organism in Eukaryota, Metazoa, Mollusca, Cephalopoda, Sepiida, Sepiidae. The record is from the annotation of a GenBank genome assembly.
ACUGGCGUUGAAACAUCGAUUCCCAUGCAAUCACCGAAGUUAAGCAAGAUCAAGACUGCUCAGUACUUCGAUGGGUGACGCUUGGGAAUACCAGGUGCUGUAAG